GACGAACGCUGGCGGCGUGCUUAACACAUGCAAGUCGAGCGGUAAGGCCCUUUCGGGGGUACACGAGCGGCGAACGGGUGAGUAACACGUGGGUGACCUGCCCUUAGCUCUGGGAUAAGCCUGGGAAACUGGGUCUAAUACCGGAUAUGACCUCAUGACUCAUGUUGUGGGGUGGAAAGCCUUGUGCGGCUAGGGAUGGGCCCGCGGCCUAUCAGCUUGUUGGUGGGGUAAUUGCCUACCAAGGCGACGACGGGUAGCCGGCCUGAGAGGGCGACCGGCCACACUGGGACUGAGACACGGCCCAGACUCCUACGGGAGGCAGCAGUGGGGAAUCUUGCGCAAUGGGCGAAAGCCUGACGCAGCGACGCCGCGUGAGGGAUGACGGCCU
Molecule: ribosomal RNA, 388 nt
Filed under: uncultured bacterium
Lineage: Bacteria
Description: bacterial SSU rRNA
Rfam family: Bacterial small subunit ribosomal RNA
Source: RNAcentral